GAUGAACGCUGGCGGCGUGCCUAAUACAUGCAAGUCGAGCGAACAGACGAGGAGCUUGCUCCUCUGACGUUAGCGGCGGACGGGUGAGUAACACGUGGAUAACCUACCUAUAAGACUGGGAUAACUUCGGGAAACCGGAGCUAAUACCGGAUAAUAUAUUGAACCGCAUGGUUCAAUAGUGAAAGACGGUUUUGCUGUCACUUAUAGAUGGAUCCGCGCCGCAUUAGCUAGUUGGUAAGGUAACGGCUUACCAAGGCAACGAUGCGUAGCCGACCUGAGAGGGUGAUCGGCCACACUGGAACUGAGACACGGUCCAGACGCCUACGGGAGGCAGCAGUAGGGAAUCUGCCGCAAAGGGCGAAAGCCUGACGGAGCAACGCCGCGUGAGUGAUGAAGGUCUUCGGAUCGUAAAACUCUGUUAUUAGGGAAGAACAAAUGUGUAAGUAACUAUGCACGUCGUGACGGUACCUAAUCAGAAAGCCACGGCUAACUACGUG
This 497-nucleotide ribosomal RNA is filed under the name uncultured bacterium. Its description in RNAcentral is "partial 16S ribosomal RNA". It matches the Rfam family "Bacterial small subunit ribosomal RNA", at positions 28 to 507 of the family's 1533-position model. The record is from RNAcentral.